This is a long non-coding RNA of Hemicordylus capensis (graceful crag lizard), 182 nucleotides long. RefSeq lists it as uncharacterized. The transcript has 3 exons. NCBI's taxonomy places the organism in Eukaryota, Metazoa, Chordata, Lepidosauria, Squamata, Cordylidae. The record is from RefSeq and is a predicted model, not a curated record.
GCCUGCUUGGUGCGAAGAGGCUUUAGCUCAGUGGAAGAGCAUCUGCUUUCAUGCAGAAGGCCCAGCCACCAUAAAUGAAAGGAAGACAUCUCGCGUUCUUGAAAUCAUAAUAGAAGGAAGACACAGGAGGAUCCCUGAGCUACCGGCUUCUCUGACAGUGACCUAGGACUACACCUUGGAUG